RNAcentral lists this ribosomal RNA (539 nucleotides) under uncultured bacterium. RNAcentral describes it as "bacterial SSU rRNA". It matches the Rfam family "Bacterial small subunit ribosomal RNA", at positions 355 to 895 of the family's 1533-position model. The record is from RNAcentral.
UGAGGANNNUUGGUCAAUGGGCGCGAGCCUGAACCAGCCAAGUAGCGUGCAGGAUGACGGCCCUAUGGGUUGUAAACUGCUUUUGUAUGGGGAUAAAGUCAAUCACGUGUGAUUGUUUGCAGGUACCAUACGAAUAAGGACCGGCUAAUUCCGUGCCAGCAGCCGCGGUAAUACGGAAGGUCCGGGCGUUAUCCGGAUUUAUUGGGUUUAAAGGGAGCGUAGGCCGGAGAUUAAGUGUGUUGUGAAAUGUAGACGCUCAACGUCUGACUUGCAGCGCAUACUGGUUUCCUUGAGUACGCACAACGUUGGCGGAAUUCGUCGUGUAGCGGUGAAAUGCUUAGAUAUGACGAAGAACUCCGAUUGCGAAGGCAGCUGACGGGAGCGCAACUGACGCUUAAGCUCGAAGGUGCGGGUAUCGAACAGGAUUAGAUACCCUGGUAGUCCGCACAGUAAACGAUGGAUGCCCGCUGUUGGUACCUGGUAUCAGCGGCUAAGCGAAAGCAUUAAGCAUCCCACCUGGGGAGUACGCCNGCNACGGU